Molecule: ribosomal RNA, 592 nt
Filed under: Microbacterium sp. WBQ_14M
Lineage: Bacteria; Bacillati; Actinomycetota; Actinomycetes; Micrococcales; Microbacteriaceae
Description: bacterial SSU rRNA
Rfam family: Bacterial small subunit ribosomal RNA
Source: RNAcentral
GCCGCAAGACUAAGACUUAAAGGAAAUAGUCGGAGCCACAAAAAACGGCGGAGCGAGCGCUUGAAUCGGAUAAAAAAGCAGAACCAAGAAAGGCUUUACCUGGUUAGAACAGGCCAAAAAUUGUUAAAUUCGUCCCACUUGAAACACGUGACGAAUGGUUUGUCUCCGCCUGCGUUCUGGAGUGGUAGGGUUAAUUCCGCCAACGAGGCAAACCCUCGUUUCUUUCUGCCACCCCUAAACGGUGGGAACCCAUGGGAUCCGCCCGCGCCCACCUCGGAGGAAGGGGGGGAGGAGGUCAAAUCACCAUCCCCCUUACGUCUUGGGCUUCACGCAUGCUACAAUGGCCGGUACAAAGGGCUGCAAUCCCGUGAGGUGGAGCGAAUCCCAAAAAGCCGGUCCCAGUUCGGAUUGAGGUCUGCAACUCGACCUCAUGAAGUCGGAGUCGCUAGUAAUCGCAGAUCAGCAACGCUGCGGUGAAUACGUUCCCGGGUCUUGUACACACCGCCCGUCAAGUCAUGAAAGUCGGUAACACCUGAAGCCGGUGGCCUAACCCUUGUGGAGGGAGCCGUCGAAGGUGGAUUCCGUAGGUGUU